RNAcentral lists this ribosomal RNA (253 nucleotides) under uncultured bacterium. Its description in RNAcentral is "partial 16S ribosomal RNA". It matches the Rfam family "Bacterial small subunit ribosomal RNA", at positions 524 to 776 of the family's 1533-position model. The record is from RNAcentral.
UACGAAGGGGGCUAGCGUUGCUCGGAAUCACUGGGCGUAAAGGGUGCGUAGGCGGGUCUUUAAGUCAGGGGUGAAAUCCUGGAGCUCAACUCCAGAACUGCCUUUGAUACUGAAGAUCUUGAGUUCGGGAGAGGUGAGUGGAACUGCGAGUGUAGAGGUGAAAUUCGUAGAUAUUCGCAAGAACACCCGUGGCGAAGGCGGUGUGCUGGGUUGCAACUGACGCUGAGAUGCGAAAGUGUGGGUAGCAAACGGG